GACGAACGCUGGCGGCGUGCUUAACAUAUGCAAGUCGAACGGAAAGGCCUCUUUCGGGGGGUACUCGAGUGGCGAACGGGUGAGUAACACGUGAGUAACCUGCCCUUGACUUUGGGAUAACUUCAGGAAACUGGGGCUAAUACCGGAUAGGAGCUCCUGCUGCAUGGUGGGGGUUGGAAAGUUUCGGCGGUUGGGGGUGGACUCGCGGCUUAUCAGCUUGUUGGUGGGGUAGUGGCUUACCAAGGCUUUGACGGGUAGCCGGCCUGAGAGGGUGACCGGCCACAUUGGGACUGAGAUACGGCCCAGACUCCUACGGGAGGCAGCAGUGGGGAAUAUUGCACAAUGGGUGGAAGCCUGAUGCAGCAACGCCGUGUGCGGGAUGACGGCCUUCGGGUUGUAAACCGCUUUCGCUCAUGACGAAGCUUUGUGUGACGGUAGUGGGUAAAGAAGCACCGGCUAACUACGUG
This 467-nucleotide ribosomal RNA is filed under the name uncultured bacterium. RNAcentral's name for it is "partial 16S ribosomal RNA". It matches the Rfam family "Bacterial small subunit ribosomal RNA", at positions 28 to 507 of the family's 1533-position model. The record is from RNAcentral.